AGUCAUAUGCUUGUCUCAAAGAUUAAGCCAUGCAUGUCUCAGUACAAGCCGAACUUAAGGUGAAACCGCGAAAGGCUCAUUAAAUCAGUUAUGGUUCCUUAGACCGUACCACGCUUACAUGGAUAACUGUGGUAAUUCUAGAGCUAAUACAUGAGUAUAGAGCUCCGACCGGAGACGGAAGGAGUGCUUUUAUUAGACCAAAGCCAAUCGGCGGCGGGGUUCGCGCCUCGUCGUCGUUUCAUUUGGUGACUCUGAAUAACUAUGCUGAUCGCACGGUCUCGAACCGGCGACGUGUCUUUCAAAUGUCUGCCUUAUCAACUGUCGAUGGUAGGCUCUGCGCCUACCAUGGUUAUAACGGGUAACGGGGAAUCAGGGUUCGAUUCCGGAGAGGGAGCCUGAGAAACGGCUACCACAUCCAAGGAAGGCAGCAGGCGCGCAAAUUACCCACUCCCGGCACGGGGAGGUAGUGACGAAAAAUAACGAUACGGGACUCAUCCGAGGCCCCGUAAUCGGAAUGAGUACACUUUAAAUCCUUUAACGAGGAUCAAUUGGAGGGCAAGUCUGGUGCCAGCAGCCGCGGUAAUUCCAGCUCCAAUAGCGUAU
This 603-nucleotide ribosomal RNA is filed under the name Thanatophilus sp. MNCN-AI838. Its description in RNAcentral is "SSU rRNA". It matches the Rfam family "Eukaryotic small subunit ribosomal RNA", at positions 22 to 602 of the family's 1831-position model. The record is from RNAcentral. Lineage: Eukaryota; Metazoa; Arthropoda; Insecta; Coleoptera; Silphidae.